AUGGUACACGAAGCACAUAUACUAACUUUGGAACAAUACAGUGAAGAUUAGCAUUGCCCCUGCACAAGGUUGACAUACAGAUUCAUAAAGCAGAGUAUACAUAU
Molecule: small nuclear RNA, 104 nt
Organism: Sarcophilus harrisii (Tasmanian devil)
Lineage: Eukaryota; Metazoa; Chordata; Mammalia; Dasyuromorphia; Dasyuridae
Source: Ensembl